UAUUUGCAUGGGUGUUUCGAGGAUAGAU
RNAcentral lists this small RNA (28 nucleotides) under Bombyx mori (domestic silkworm). Its description in RNAcentral is "ovarian small RNA-24329". The record is from RNAcentral. Lineage: Eukaryota; Metazoa; Arthropoda; Insecta; Lepidoptera; Bombycidae.